This 1375-nucleotide long non-coding RNA is filed under the name Brassica napus (rape). Its description in RNAcentral is "long non-coding RNA (BNAP_LNC017897)". The record is from RNAcentral. Lineage: Eukaryota; Viridiplantae; Streptophyta; Magnoliopsida; Brassicales; Brassicaceae.
GUGGGAGUAGUGGGUCAUUACAGAAACAUUGUAUGAAUAAGCAUUGUUUGAACAUUGUUCCUUGUAAAGCCAAACUCACUGGUUCCAGACUUCCAGUUAAUGAAUUUUUUUUUUGUGUUGUGUGCUUUGGCAAAUUGCUUUUUAAGGAAAAGCUUGCUUAUUUAAAGAAACAGAGGUGAGCAUCGAUUGUCAUGUUGACUGCUUACCAUAUCCAAAAUUUCUUAGUAGCUUCCGCAUUAGAGUGUGUAUCAAUCUGACCAGGAAGAAAUAAGCAAAAAUUAGGUACAGUUAUCAUAAAAAAUAUCGUUUUAUUGUUGUAGAAGUAAACCAGAUAACACCAUCAUUGUUUUAACAGUGCUUGAAAUAGAGUUGCUUAAGCUAUGUUAAGUCCUGAAAUGACUCUGUACCAAAAUUAACUAUUCCAGAAAGUACUUGAUGGCUGACUUAUGAAAUUAGUAUAACGUUUACAUACCACGAUUAUGAUGACAAACCAUUAUAAACCACAUAUGAUAUGAGUUUCUAAUUAAUUGAGGAUAUAUUCUCUUAGUUAGCUUUGAUUUUCUGACUGUGUUAAACCUGCAAAAAAAAAAAAAAAAAGGUUUUAAUUCACUCUUGAGUAGUGUUAGCGAUUGAUCAUAGAGCAGUCAUAUUCGUAAUCUAGCCACAUAGUGCAAGAGAGGUGACCAGAGGAAUGCGGAAGGUUGUUGUAUAUUAAUUCAGCAUGAGAAUGCGGUUGAGAUUGUAGGAAUAAAGUGAAAAUGUUGAUUUCAUGGAAAGUUAAUAUUAAAAAAUCAGAAAUCACUAUAACACGAUUGUAGAUCUCAGAAUAUAUAAGAUCAAGAGCAGGUUACCAAAAAUGUCGAGAAAUUCAAACUGAAAACACGCCACCGAAGAGCGCUUGUUCUUUCUUCUAACGCUGUAACCACACACCAAGUUAAAAAUUCGUCCAGUCGAUCAAAGAAACAAAAACUGCAAAAAAGUACAAAUAUCACAAAGAUAUCAUAGGCUGAUGUAUAUGGGAAGAACUCAUACCAUUUUAUAGGUCGAGUUUCACCGUCUGUAAGGGAGAUGAGAAGUACUGAAUGAGGAAUCGUGAGGCGUAGGUCUUAAGAGUAAAGAGCGCUAGUAAUGGAGAUGAACACUUAAUACCGUAACGUAACAGAGGAGAUGAAUCAGGAACGAAACAUUACAAAAGAGACCGACGCAGUGAUUCCAGACGAAUAACUGAGACGGAGAACCUCUAACAACCUCCAUUGGAGUUUGAUGACUUAAUCACAGCUUAAGAGUACGAACCCUAGAUCUAUCAAAGACGACAAUAUGAGAACGCCGCAACCUAUUAGUUUGUGUUUAUCAGCGUGAAAUAAAUGGAAUAAAU